UACGUAGGGUGCGAGCGUUAAUCGGAAUUACUGGGCGUAAAGCGUGCGCAGGCGGUCUGUUAAGACCGAUGUGAAAUCCCCGGGCUUAACCUGGGAACUGCAUUUGUGACUGCAUAGCUAGAGUCUGUCAGAGGGGGGUGGAAUUCCACGUGUAGCAGUGAAAUGCGUAGAGAUGUGGAGGAACACCGAUGGCGAAGGCAGCCCCCUGGGAUAAGACUGACGCUCAUGUACGAAAGCGUGGGGAGCAAACAGG
This 253-nucleotide ribosomal RNA is filed under the name uncultured bacterium. RNAcentral describes it as "partial 16S ribosomal RNA". It matches the Rfam family "Bacterial small subunit ribosomal RNA", at positions 524 to 776 of the family's 1533-position model. The record is from RNAcentral.